Molecule: long non-coding RNA, 1593 nt
Organism: Argiope bruennichi
Lineage: Eukaryota; Metazoa; Arthropoda; Arachnida; Araneae; Araneidae
Exons: 3
Source: RefSeq, a predicted model, not a curated record
CGGAAAACCGUUGAUCAAAUGUGAUCAUCGGAAGUCCAUGAAUCAAAAAAUGGGGGAAAACAGGGGGAAAUUGACAACGGGUUUGGUGUGGUGAAUACCGAUUUGACUGCUGAACAGCGUUUAAUCAUCAGCCGAUGUUUAACAACGGUUGGUGAAUACGGCCAAGUGUAAGAAGAAUAUUUCUAAAAUAAGGUGGGGGAAAAAUUUAGUUUUUGCUUCUUGAUUUAGCCAGAUCUGGAUCAGCAUCGCAGUUUUUUUUGCUUUCCUUUAAGAUAAGAAGCAUCAGUACUUCACAUAUUGUUUUCCACUUUAGAGCAUUCAUCUUCCAUGGAUUCAGAACAGAAACAUUCUGAAGCCGUCAGUUAAUCUUGUAUUGAAUUUUUUUCUAAAAAACAGAUGAAUAGAAAUUAACUGUCCAUUAUUGAAGUAUUAAAUGCUUCUCAUUUAUCUAGAAUUGGUGAGUAGGUAUGGCCAAAAAUAGAUUGAGAUAUUAUAUUUUUUGAAGGAAAGUCACGCCAAGUUUUAAUGGAAAGGGAAUGUCUGCGAUGCUUUUGGCAAAGAAUUUAAUCAGCUAAAGAAUUUGAAUAAUCAUUGGUGGCCUGACAAAAAGUAAAUUGUACACUUGUGACUUAUGUAAAAGAUGUUUUGAUCUGCCACAAUAAUUUAGGAUGCCUUUAAAUCCUAAUAAAAGAAAAAAAUUGCAUGCUUGUGGCAUCUGUAACAAAGCAUUUUCUCAGUUGGGACAUUUAACGACUCAUUUGCUGACACACACUACAGAGAAACCACAUGUCUGUGAUGUCUGCAACAAAGGAUUUGCUCAACAGGCACAUUUAAUGGCACACUUAUUGACCCAUACAAAAGAGAAACCACAUGUCUGUGAGGUCUGCAACAAAGGAUUUGCUCAACAGGCACAUUUAAUGGCACACUUACUGACCCAUACAAAAGAGAAACCACAUGCUUGUAAUUUGUGUUGCAAAGCAUUUUCUUUGCAAAGGAAUUUAAAGAGACAUUUACUUACUCAUACAAAUGAGAAACCAUAUGUUUGUGAGUUCUGCAACAAAGCAUUUUCUCAAUCGGGAAGUUUAAAGAGACACUUACUGAUGCAUACAAAUGAGAAACCAUUUGAUUGUAAUUUUUGUAGUAAAACAUUUUCUCAAAAGAGCAAUCUUAGAACUCAUUUACAGACACAUACAAACGAGAAACCAUUCAUAUGUGAUGUGUGCAAUAAAGCAUUUUCUCGAAAAACGAAUUUAAAAAUGCAUUUUCCAAUACAUACAAAAGAAAAAACUGCAUGUUUAUGAUUUAUGUAGUUAAAAAUUCUUUUGGCUCUGUUAUUUAAGGAAAUAUUCUAUGACUCAUUCUAAAUGGAAUCCAUUUAAUUUUGAAAUAUACAUAUACAAAAUAGUGUUCUGUGGACACUUUAAAGGACAUUUUUGAGAUUUACUGGAAUGGGUUUCAUUUCAAUAAAUCAUUAAUUUGAACAUUAAUUAAAGUGCAGACUGGAAGUCUUGUUUCAUUAUUUUAAAAAUGACAAAUUCAGAAUUUUAAUGAAAAUUUUAUGUAUCUUUUAAAUGGUUGAAGGUAUUUGUUACA